Molecule: long non-coding RNA, 299 nt
Filed under: Zea mays
Lineage: Eukaryota; Viridiplantae; Streptophyta; Magnoliopsida; Poales; Poaceae
Description: long non-coding RNA (ZMAY_LNC002339)
Source: RNAcentral
UUACCUGCCGCGCUCUCCCAACACACGUCUGGAACAGUCUGCUCUGAUCGAGGUAUGGCCUCUCGAAUCUGCAUUCGAUUUGUCCCCUGACUCUUCAAGCGAAGCCGCGUGCUAAUUUUUUCGUUUCUACCAGGUAAAUUGGGGGUGGUUGGUUAGGUCAUUUUGCAUAAGAAGUGAUUGAUCUAGACUCUGUGCCUGCCUGUGAGGGUGAGGAGGACAUGAACGAAUUCGAGCUAGAGGAUAACUUUGAGUUCAUUAUCUAGAGCAUCCAGGACCUCAUGGAGGACCCAGGGAACAAC